This 307-nucleotide ribosomal RNA is filed under the name uncultured bacterium. RNAcentral's name for it is "partial 16S ribosomal RNA". It matches the Rfam family "Bacterial small subunit ribosomal RNA", at positions 506 to 807 of the family's 1533-position model. The record is from RNAcentral.
AGACAGCAGUAGCCACGGGAAUACAGAGGGUGAGAGCGUUAAUCGGAUUUACUGGGCGUAAAGCGUGCGUAGGCGGCUUCUUAAGUCGGAUGUGAAAUCCCUGAGCUUAACUUAGGAAUUGCAUUCGAUACUGGGAAGCUAGAGUAUGGGAGAGGAUGGUAGAAUUCCAGGUGUAGCGGUGAAAUGCGUAGAGAUCUGGAGGAAUACCGAUGGCGAAGGCAGCCAUCUGGCCUAAUACUGACGAUGAGGUACGAAAGCAUGGGGAGCAAACAGGAUUAGAUACCCGCGUAGUCCCUGUCUCUUAUAC